Long non-coding RNA from Lates calcarifer (barramundi perch), 735 nucleotides. RefSeq lists it as uncharacterized. NCBI's taxonomy places the organism in Eukaryota, Metazoa, Chordata, Actinopteri, Centropomidae. The transcript is spliced from 2 exons. The record is from RefSeq and is a predicted model, not a curated record.
CUUAUCUCACUCAUAUUCAAUUUAACUUGGACUGUGAUUAACGCUCCUCCAAUGAAGGGAGAAAGACACAAAGGAUAUUUUCCUCACCCUCUCUCUCUCAUCCACAGGGCUCCUUCAGCUAUUCAGCUGUCCUCCAUUUUUAAUGACUUCUUUAUCUCUGGACUGAGGAGGAGAUUUGUUUGUGCUUUCAUGUAUGUUCUGUCAAGUAAAGUGGAGGCCCAGUACGGCAUCGGAUUAGAGAGAAAGAGACAGAGAGAAAGGAAGGGCCCUGACAGUGACUGUCAGGGCCUGCAGCCUGACACGGGAGUGAUCAUCUGGAAGAGAGGCAGAGAGGAAGAAACCAGCAUUGAAUUAAUCAUAUUAACGAGGGCAUCAGGAGAAGAAAAGGGGGAGAGGGACGGAGAGACAGACAGUAAAACACAUGAACACUGAGAAAAUGUGGUGAGGGACGACUGCAAGAAUGACCAGACAUAGCAGUAUACUGUGGCACAAUUACAAGUGGAGCUGAUGAGAUGCAACAUGGCUGAUGAAUGUGACUGCGUGCGACAAACACAAUGACGCCCACUGUCAGUUUAAAACCUUGAUGAUUUGGACUGAAUGAAAGUAUCCAAAAAAGUUAGAAUUAAAAUUGUAUUUUUGGAAGUUAUUGACCUUAGAAUCUUGCUUAAUGGUUAGUAAUGUCAAUAUGUGUGCAUAAUGCAAAUGCAUUAUAAUAAACCACAACAUUUACUUUGA